UUGCUCUUUUGUAUAUUUUAGUAUAUUUUACAAUAUUUUACACAGUUUACAUUGUCUUCAUGAAAAAGGUCGUGUAUACAUAUUUAGAUGACACGUAAACAAUCUGCGUAGAUGUGAUCUUGAAAUCAUCGAUACAACCCUGACUAACGCUUUAUACGAUCGUACGAGGAUCGCUCGUAGUUGAGACUCGGCGAGACUGGAAUUCGACACAGGAGACGCGCCAAAAUGUCCUUCAUGUCUGCCCUGUGAUAAUGUAAAUGUGGUAUGAAGGACAUUUUUUCCGUACAACAUUAGAGCGACAUCGACAUCUGCUGUUAAGAGUAACGGGUCGACGGUGACGUUCGCAGCUGCAUCGUCGAGAUCUCGAGAUCGUGAUCGAAUAUUGUAGGAAAAAGUUAACACUUAUCGGCUAUUUUGGUGCACUGGACGAUCGGAUAUUUUCUUUUUAUUUCGCGUUGGGCUGGACAAGGCUCGAUAAUGGCCGAUAAAGAUCUCGCGUGCGGAUAUCGAAUCGAUAUUUUUUCUAUAUAUUCGUAAUAUACUAAGAGAUAUUUGUAGUAGACAUUGGUAUAUAAUACCAAAAAUUAAAAUAUUCUGUUGGUAUAUUUACAUAAUAGAAAAUGUUCUCAAUAUAUAUAUUGAGUAGUCUAUGGAUAUGGACAUAGAAACAUCCUCCGCACAUUCUCAGAAUAUCAUAGAUCUACCUGUACUGUAUGGGUUACCUGACGAAUGAACUCUCGUCGUCUACUCAUACCGCUGUGCUUCGCUACGAAUCUCGCGAGGCGUGCUGUAUUUUCCCACCGGACAAGUGUGCGAUCCUAGAAGGAUAACGCGUUAUGUGGUCAGAAUCGCCGGUCCAUUUGCGAAGUGCGCGAGUGAGCGAGCAAGAGAGAUCCAUAGAGAGAGGAAAAGAGAGGAGAGAGAGAGAGAGAGAGGAAGAGAGAGAGGGAGAGAGAGAAAGUCCCCGAGGCGCGCGCGUGGCCAUUGUUCGGUCAUUUUCAUUGUGUCGGUGCUUAUAUUACUAUACGGCUAUUAUUCCCCAUGCCGGCAUUUUCAAUUGGAGAUAUUUAUGUGACCUGGUUAUACAGUCUGCGACACCUGGCGAUUCUGACUUUUUCACGCGUCGACCAUAUUUAACCCUUAAUGUGAUAUAGUGCCGCCUUAUGUGCGACCCUACUCGCAAUUAGUUACCAGAUCUACCGUAUUUAGCGUGAACAAAGACGCUCACUAUUAUUUUCAUUUUCUGCCGCGGUAAAGCUGGAGUUUUUGCGAGUAAAAAGAAAAUGUGCACAGUCGAUUGGAGUAAAGUAAAGAUAAAAAUAGGUACAGGCUAAUAUGGAAUAGGCUAAUAUGGAAUAGGAGCUUAUUUUUUUAGAGUCCCUUAAGUAAAAGUCUGAACAUGUUUAUUUGUUAAAAAAAUAUAUGAGUCAUGUAAGAAAUAGCUAUUGUAUUCCAAAUUGUACAAAUAGAAAUUUGAAAGAAUUUUCGAUAAAAUAUUCCUAUGAACUGAACAGAAAGUGUUAACAAUAAAACUAUGUAUAAAUAUGACUAUGUAUAGUAUUGUAAAAUAAUAUAUAAUAUAUAAAAUAAAAUAUAAUAUAUAAUA
Long non-coding RNA from Odontomachus brunneus, 1606 nucleotides. RefSeq lists it as uncharacterized. The transcript has 4 exons. The record is from RefSeq and is a predicted model, not a curated record. Lineage: Eukaryota; Metazoa; Arthropoda; Insecta; Hymenoptera; Formicidae.